AGGAAAGUGAACAUAUUCAUCACCCUCACGGGGAAGUGAGUGAGAACCUACAAAAAGGGAUAGAGGGUUGUCUAAUCUCUUUUAUUUCCACCCUGGGACAGCAAAACUGAGAGGCAUGAUUCUCUCCUCUACCAGCAGUUUCUAAAAAUCCAAGCACACUUUAAAGCAAGAAGGAUUUUUAACAAGAAAAUUUGCAGACACGUACUGAAUACUACCAGCAAUCGUAACACAAUGGUAAGUAUUUGUGUGAAACAAAUAAACAAUAAAAAUAACCUUGCAUUUCUUGAUGCCUUCUUCAUGUCUCUAAGUAUAGGGUUUGUUUCAUUAUAAAAUAUCUUCUUAUGAGGAAAUGCCUUAGUGUCUAAGUGUCCAAUCACAAAUUCAGAAUUCAAAAGAAAGAACACGGUCUGUUCUCGGG
Molecule: long non-coding RNA, 418 nt
Filed under: Pan troglodytes (chimpanzee)
Lineage: Eukaryota; Metazoa; Chordata; Mammalia; Primates; Hominidae
Description: long non-coding RNA NONPTRT011261
Source: RNAcentral